Molecule: ribosomal RNA, 556 nt
Filed under: Arxellia boucheti
Lineage: Eukaryota; Metazoa; Mollusca; Gastropoda; Trochida; Solariellidae
Description: partial 16S ribosomal RNA
Rfam family: Bacterial large subunit ribosomal RNA
Source: RNAcentral
CGCUCUUUGGAAUAGUUGUAUUAAUAUAAAGAGUCGGACCUGCCCAGUGACGUAGUGUUAAACGGCCGCGGUACUCUGACCGUGCAAAGGUAGCAUAAUCACUUGCCUUUUAAUUGGAGGCUUGUAUGAAUGGUUUGACGAGAGCUAAGCUGUCUCCUUUUUAAAUAUUUAGAAAUUAAUUUAUAGGUGAAGAGGCCUAUAUAUAUUUGAGGGACAAGAAGACCCUGUUGAGUUUGAGUGUAAUUGAAAAUAAAUUGUUGCUCAUAGUUUCAGGACUGUGGGUGGUAGGGAUUCUAUAAUAUAGAAAUUGUGUUUUCUUAUAAUCUUUAGUUGGGGCGACUGAGGAGCAUGAGAAGCUUCCUUUAAAGAAUUAUGGUUAGCAGGCUAAUUUGAUCCAACUUUUGUUGAUCAAAGGAAAAAAUUACCAUAGGGAUAACAGCGUAAUCUUUUCGGAGAGUUCUUAUCGAAGAAAGGGUUUGCGACCUCGAUGUUGGACUAAGAUAUCCCAGGGGUGUAGAAGUUCCUGAAGGUUGGUCUGUUCGACCAUUAAAAUCUU